UUGAUCACCCGGAGGUCCAUUAGCCGCCUCGCAGGCCACAUCAGCAACUUUGCUCGCAGCUAUACCUGCGACCGGGCUCGACGACAGAGCCUGCCCAAUUCCAGCUACAGCCUGCUGCUGCACCACCCGCUGGACUAAUUCGAUCAAUGCGGCCAACUGCUCCUCCAACCGUCGGAUGUCGUGCACAACUCAAGAAGUCUCGGCAUUAGCG
Molecule: long non-coding RNA, 211 nt
Filed under: Ananas comosus (pineapple)
Lineage: Eukaryota; Viridiplantae; Streptophyta; Magnoliopsida; Poales; Bromeliaceae
Description: long non-coding RNA (ACOM_LNC029209)
Source: RNAcentral